Long non-coding RNA from Hypanus sabinus (Atlantic stingray), 2298 nucleotides. RefSeq lists it as uncharacterized. The record is from RefSeq and is a predicted model, not a curated record. The transcript is spliced from 4 exons. NCBI's taxonomy places the organism in Eukaryota, Metazoa, Chordata, Chondrichthyes, Myliobatiformes, Dasyatidae.
UGGGUUAACUCGAGGGUUGCUGGCCAGCACAGCUCUAAGUGCUGCAAAGGCCUAUUUUGUGCCAUAUUUCAAUAAAUAAAAAUACAUACAACAUGGAAAACAGCCUUUCCACCCAGUCCUCACUGACCAUCCGCCACUCAUCCCACAUUAAUCCUUUUUCUCCCCCCAUUAUCAUCAACCUCCCCCAAUUCCACCAUUCACUUAGACACAUUCAGUACUGCCGCCAAGUUUCCCCAUGAACCACACAUCUUUGGGAUGAGGUUGGACACCCACAGGGCGAACAUGCAAACUCGUAAACAAACAGCACCUUUGAACCCAGAUCUCCGGCACUGAGAAACAGUGACCCUGCUAACUGCACCACUGGACUAGCCACGAUUCAAUAAGGUAGUUGCAGAGAAAACACUUAGACAAGGUGAUGACCAAAGCAGGACGCUAAUUGGAAAUGGGCAGAGGCUAUAAGAAGAAUGAGAUGAUAAUGAAAUUGGACUUUGGAAUGUGAAACUCACUCUUUCACGGAGUGCUUGGGAGGAAGAGCUGAGACGGAAUUAUGAGGAAGUUGAAAUAAACGCGAGGGAGAAGGGAUAUGGAUAUGGUGAUGAAGAGAGAUGCUGGUAUCACAUGAAUACUAGCAGUGACUGGUUGGGCUAAAUGACCUAUUCUGACUUUUCUAUGCCAUUUCUAUGCACAUUUUCAUCCUCUAACAUCACAUUGCCAUUAAGAAUACCAACAGUAUGGAGAAAAUGUAGACCAGUCACAAACAAGAGAAAAUCUGCAGAUGCUGGAAAUCCAAGCAACACUCACAAAAUGCUGGAGGAACGCAACAGGCCGGGCAGCAUCUAUGGAAAAGAGUAUUCAGUUGACGUUUCAGGCCGAGACCCUUCAUCAGGCCCGAAAUACAGACCGGAGAGAACGUCCGGGAACAGCUGAAAAUAGACCAGUUCACUGCCAUAAGCAGAUAUUACAGUUCAGCGAGGUGUCAACUUCAUUCACGAAGGGACAAAGUGUUUACUGAUAUUGCACAGAAGAUACAAAAGCCUGAAAGCGCAUAUACCACCAGGCUCAAGGACAGCUUCUAUCCUGCAGCUGUAAGAUCAACGAAUAGUCCCCCAGCACAAUAAGAUGGAGUCUAGACCUCAUAGCCAACAUCAUCAUGUGAGGGGUUGACUUAUUUGCCGGUCAAAAGCCACUUCCACCGUGUCGGUUGCUGCUUGGCCCGUUCAUCGGAUGCAGCAGCUCUUUCCCAUCGGUUUCGUUGUGUGUCACGGCACUGGAUUCCAGUUCCAGACCUCUCGGGUACAAGAAUAGCAAGUGUGAGAGACUUGCUCUUUCCUUUAUCUCCAGGACAUGCUUCAGGCUGAAGUCGUGACCAGCACUGAAGGACCACAGGGAAAGAGCAUUGCAGACAUAAAUGGACCCCUACUGUUUACUUGAGUCUUGCACCUUACUGUCUACCUAGAAGACCCUAACCUGGACUUACACAUUGGCUUCAGCUCUUUGCGGGAAUGGGACCUGUUCUCGGGGUUUCAAGACUGGCUGUUGUUCUGCACGCCAAGGGUUCGGCCUGAGAGUGCAAGCCUAAGGUCUCAGGGCUCCGGAGAUGGGCGGAUCGAGGGUUGGUGUCACAGCAGGAGACCAGUGUGUCGUCGGGGAGUCGGGACAUCUGCUGUGGGCCCAAAGACUCGGGAUGUUUGCAACCUUCAGGCACAGAACUCGGAAAAAAAAGCGACGUAACGGACUUUUAACAUCGUAAACCAGCGAGUUGUUUGUCAUGUCUCCAUUUUCCCAGCGAGCGGGGAGACACCUUUCUCUCCCUUAUUAGCGAGAGAAUCUGUGGUAUGUCGAAUGCUGGGUGUAACACAAAGUCUUUGGGUAACUGCAAGUCUUGUGUCUUUGCUGUUGCUUUGUUCAUGCUUGAGUGCUCGGUGGGGGGUACAAAUGCUUUUUUUGCCCAUAGGGGGAGGGGGGAUUGUUGCUUGCUGCUGCUUACGCGCAGGGGAGGGAUCUUUGGGGUUUUUAACGUUUAUCUGUCAUUCAUUCUUUGGGGCACUCCUCUGUUUUCGUGCAUGGUUGUGAAGAAAAAGCAUUUCAGGAUCUAUGUUUUAUACAUUUCUCUGACGUUAAAUUGGAACUUUGGACCUUUGAAACUAAACUGCAUUUUCUCUGUAGCUGUUGCAUUCUGUCAUCACUUUUCAAUUGUACUACCUCAAUGUGAUGACAUUAUCUGUUAGGAUGCUACACAAAAGUUUUUUUUUACUGUACCCCUGUGCAGGUCAAAUAAUAAACCAAAUUUUCAAUCCA